UACAGAGGGUGCGAGCGUUAAUCGGAAUUACUGGGCGUAAAGCGUGCGCAGGCGGUUUUGUAAGACAGAGGUGAAAUCCCCGGGCUCAACCUGGGAACUGCCUUUGUGACUGCAAGGCUUGAGUGCGGCAGAGGGGGAUGGAAUUCCGCGUGUAGCAGUGAAAUGCGUAGAUAUGCGGAGGAACACCGAUGGCGAAGGCAAUCCCCUGGGCCUGCACUGACGCUCAUGCACGAAAGCGUGGGGAGCAAACAGG
Molecule: ribosomal RNA, 253 nt
Filed under: uncultured bacterium
Lineage: Bacteria
Description: partial 16S ribosomal RNA
Rfam family: Bacterial small subunit ribosomal RNA
Source: RNAcentral